GAAACCUCCACCUGGACAGGUGAGAACAGGUGAGAAUAGAACAGGUGAGAACAGACAGGUGUGAAUAGAACAGGUGAGAAUAGAACAGGUGAGAUCAGACAGGUGUGACAGGUGUGAGGAAACCCCCGCGAUCGAAUCCGCCCCUGCCGCCACCGCGACGAUCCUCGAAUCCACCUGGGCAGGUGAGAACGGACAGGUGAGAACAGGUGAGAACAGGUGAGACAGGUGAGAACAGGUGAGAUCGGACAGGUGAGAUCAGACAGGUGUGAACAGACAGGUGUGAACAGGGGUAACAGGUGUGAACACCACAGGUGUGAACAGCUGUGAACAGCUGUACUCCAGGUGUAUUCUGUGUACCCCCAGGUGUCCCCAGGUGUGUUCCAGGUGUGUUUUGGGUGUCCCCAGGUGUAUCCAGCUGUACUCCAGGUGUCCCCAGGUGUGUCCAGGUGUACUUCAGCCCCCCCAGGUGUGUCCAGGUGUACUCCAAGAGUACCCCAGGUGUACUCCAGGUGUGUCCAGGCAUACUCCAGGUGUAUUUCAGCCCCCCCAGGUGUAUCCAGGUGUACUCCAGGUGUCCCCAGGUGUGCCCAGGUGUCCCCAGGUGUCCCCCAGGUGUAUCCAGGUGUACUCCAGGUGUAUUUCAGUCCCCCCAGGUGUACCCCAGGUGUAUCCAGGUGUACUCCAGGUGUAUUUAGGAUGUCCCCAGGUGUCCCCAGGUGUCCCCAGGUGUCCCCAGGUGUAUCCAGGUGUCCCCAGGUGUACCCCAGGUGUCCCCAGGUGUCCCCAGGUGUACUCCAGGUGUAUUUCAGCCCCCCCAGGUGUCCCCCAGGUGUAUCCAGGUAUGUUCCAGGUGUACUCACCCAUGUGGUUUCCUCCUCCUCCUCCUCCUCCUCCUCCU
RNAcentral lists this long non-coding RNA (898 nucleotides) under Cyanistes caeruleus (blue tit). RNAcentral describes it as "lncRNA (ENSCCEG00000005403.1)". The record is from RNAcentral. Lineage: Eukaryota; Metazoa; Chordata; Aves; Passeriformes; Paridae.